CAAAGGAGAUGGGAUUGGGAGUCAGGCCACAUUUUAGGACAAAGAUGAAGGAAUUUUCCAGAUCUAAGUAAGGCCCCAAAUCAGCUCAACUUUAAGUAAAUGCAAAGAUGACCCUGGGUGGGUCUGGUCUAAUCAAGCUACGGCUUCUUAUUUUCAUUUUACAGAAAAAAGAGGGCUCAUAGCUAUAAAGAUAGUUGCAAAAAACCCACAUAGCAUUUAAUAGAUAGUGCCCCCAUGACACCUAGACAAUUUCUUUUUUUUUUUUAACAUUAUUUUACAGUCAAAAAAUAAAAAUAAAAAAAGAUGAGGACUAUAUAUACUGGCCCAAAGAAGUUUACAACUCUGGUAAUAUCCAUACAAACUAUAUGUGAAUAGCUAUUAAAAAUUAUUAUGCAUUGUUUAUGUGUUUGUUUAGAGGUAUGUUGUUAUGCUACUUUUGUUCUGUGAAAGAUCCUUUUAAAAACUGAUUUCAGUGUGUUUAAAUUCCUGAGCAUAAUGACUUCCAAACAUUUCUACUUCAAUGUGUAAUUUCCUUGGCAACAAAGCA
RNAcentral lists this long non-coding RNA (547 nucleotides) under Homo sapiens (human). Its description in RNAcentral is "non-protein coding lnc-MYT1L-7:1". The record is from RNAcentral. Lineage: Eukaryota; Metazoa; Chordata; Mammalia; Primates; Hominidae.